CCUGGAUCCUGGAUGGUUCCUCAGGUUUUUCUGCCUCUAAAAGUCUGAUGCUGCGGACAACGGCCCUUAAUCUGGCUUCAGGAACCUCUUAGGCUGUCAGAGUGAACAAGUACACAAAUGAAUACAUAAGACCGGGAGAAAUUCAAAGAGGAAGUAAACAAGGGGAUACUGUAGAAAGCGAUGCAGUGGGAAGAGAGGCCUUUUCUGAGAUGACACUGAAGUUGAACCUGGAGGAGCCAGUCCUGAGGAGGGCAUCCCAGGCAGAGGAAACAGCCUGAGGACCUUAAGAAAAUGUGAAGCCAAGGAACGGAGAGAGAGGUGAUGGGAGAUUCAAAACUGCCUUCUAGAUCACAGAAGACAACCAAUUUUAUCACAUGAUGAAGAGUGUCUAUCCCAAAUCAAUGACCAACAUUCUACUUUGUGGUACAACUCUAGGGGCUUUCCCUGUAAAGUGGGCAC
Long non-coding RNA from Hipposideros armiger (great roundleaf bat), 459 nucleotides. RefSeq lists it as uncharacterized. NCBI's taxonomy places the organism in Eukaryota, Metazoa, Chordata, Mammalia, Chiroptera, Hipposideridae. The transcript is spliced from 3 exons. The record is from RefSeq and is a predicted model, not a curated record.